UACGUAGGGGGCGAGCGUUGUCCGGAUUUAUUGGGCGUAAAGCGCGCGCAGGCGGUUCAUUAAGUCUGGUGUGAAAGCUCCCGGCUCACCUGGGAGAGGGCACUGGAGACUGGUGGACUGGAGGGCGGCAGAGGCCGGUGGAAUUCCCGGUGUAGUGGUGAAAUGCGUAGAGAUCGGGAGGAACACCAGUGGCGAAGGCGGCCGGCUGGGCCGUGCCUGACGCUGAGGCGCGAAAGCGUGGGUAGCAAACAGG
This 253-nucleotide ribosomal RNA is filed under the name uncultured bacterium. RNAcentral describes it as "partial 16S ribosomal RNA". It matches the Rfam family "Bacterial small subunit ribosomal RNA", at positions 524 to 776 of the family's 1533-position model. The record is from RNAcentral.